GAUGAACGCUGGCGGCGUGCCUAAUACAUGCAAGUCGAACGCGCAGCGAAAGGUGCUUGCACCUUUCAAGCGAGUGGCGAACGGGUGAGUAACACGUGGAUAACCUGCCUCAAGGCUGGGGAUAACAUUUGGAAACAGAUGCUAAUACCGAAUAAAAAUUAGUAUCGCAUGAUACAAAGUUAAAAGGCGCUACGGGGUCACCUAGAGAUGGAUCCGCGGUGCAUUAGUGAGUUGGUGGGGUAAAGGCAUACCAAGAGGAUGAUGCAUAGCCGAGUUGGGAGACUGAUCGGCCACAUUGGGACUGAGACACGGCCCAAACGCCUGCGGGAGGCUGCAGUAGGGAAUCUUCCACAAUGGGCGCAAGCCUGAUGGAGCAACGCCGCGUGUGUGAUGAAGGCUUUCGGGUCGUAAAGCACUGUUGUAUGGGAAGAACAGCUAGAAUAGGGAACGAUUUUAGUUUGACGGUACCAUACCAGAAAGGGACGGCUAAAUACGUGCCAGCAGCCGCAGUAA
This 513-nucleotide ribosomal RNA is filed under the name uncultured bacterium. RNAcentral's name for it is "partial 16S ribosomal RNA". It matches the Rfam family "Bacterial small subunit ribosomal RNA", at positions 28 to 523 of the family's 1533-position model. The record is from RNAcentral.